AGGACGAACGCUGGCGGCGUGCUUAACACAUGCAAGUCGAGCGGAAAGGCCCUUCGGGGUACUCGAGCGGCGAACGGGUGAGUAACACGUGAGUAAUCUGCCCCUAGCUCUGGGAUAGCUCCGGGAAACCGGGAUUAAUACUGGAUACGACCACCUUAGACAUCUUUUGUGGUGGAAAGAAUUUCGGCUAGGGAUGAGCUCGCGGCCUAUCAGCUUGUUGGUGGGGUAACGGCCUACCAAGGCGACGACGGGUAGCCGGCCUGAGAGGGCGACCGGCCACACUGGGACUGAGACACGGCCCAGACUCCUACGGGAGGCAGCAGUGGGAAUAUUGCGCAAUGGGCGAAAGCCUGACGCAGCGACGCCGCGUGGGGGAUGACGGCCUUAGGGUUGUAAAGCUCUUUCGCUCGGGACGAUAAUGACGGUACCGAGAUAAGAAGCCCGGCUAACUUCGCGCCAGCAGCCGC
RNAcentral lists this ribosomal RNA (467 nucleotides) under uncultured bacterium. Its description in RNAcentral is "SSU rRNA". It matches the Rfam family "Bacterial small subunit ribosomal RNA", at positions 26 to 518 of the family's 1533-position model. The record is from RNAcentral.